RNAcentral lists this ribosomal RNA (515 nucleotides) under uncultured bacterium. RNAcentral's name for it is "bacterial SSU rRNA". It matches the Rfam family "Bacterial small subunit ribosomal RNA", at positions 27 to 518 of the family's 1533-position model. The record is from RNAcentral.
GGACGAACGCUGGCGGCGUGCCUAAUACAUGCAAGUCGAACGGUCUUUCUAUGGAAGCUGCUCACUGAGAAGAUAGUGGCGAACGGGUGAGUAACACGUGGGUAACCUGCCCAUAAGAGGGGGAUAACAUCCGGAAACGGGUGCUAAUACCGCAUAGUUUUCUUGAUCGCAUGAUCGGGAAAGGAAAGACGGCCUUUGUGCUGUCGCUUAUGGAUGGACCCGCGGCGUAUUAGUUAGUUGGUGAGGUAACGGCUCACCAAGACGAUGAUACGUAGCCGACCUGAGAGGGUGAUCGGCCACAUUGGGACUGAGACACGGCCCAAACUCCUACGGGAGGCAGCAGUAGGGAAUCUUCCGCAAUGGACGAAAGUCUGACGGAGCAACGCCGCGUGAGUGAAAGAAGGUUUUCGGAUCGUAAAACUCUGUUGUCAGAGAAGAACAAGUUGGAGAGUAACUGCUCCAGCCUUGACGGUAUCUGACCAGAAAGCCACGGCUAACUACGUGCCAGCCGCCGC